CGACCUCAGUGCAGGCGAGACUACCCGCUGAAUUUAAGCAUAUUACUAAGCGGAGGAAAAGAAACUAACAAGGAUUUCCUUAGUAGCGGCGAGCGAACAGGAAUGAGCCCAGCACCGAAUCCCGCGGUUCUGCCGCCGGGAAAUGUGGUGUUCGGGAGGGUCCAAUUCUCCCCGCGGCGUCGGACCGCGUCCAAGUCCAUCUUGAAUGGGGCCACUUACCCGUAGAGGGUGGUAGAGGGUGCCAGACACGUAGUGACCGGGACGCGCCGUGGGAGGACCUCUCCUUAGAGUCGGGUUGCUUGAGAGUGCAGCUCUAAGUUGGUGGUAAAUUCCAUCUAAGGCUAAAUAUGACGACGAGACCGAUAGCGAACAAGUACCAUGAGGGAAAGUUGAAAAGAACUUUGAAGAGAGAGUUCAAGAGUACGUGAAACCGUUUAGGGGUGAACCUGAGAAACCCAAAAGAUCGAAUGGGGAGAUUGAUCGUCAGCGACGUUGGCUUCCGUGUGGAUCGCGAUGGCCGGGACCUUGGUUCCGUGUCACACGUCCGCUGCGGUAUGUCCGACGUCGUCGGCGUGCACUGCUCCUCGAAUAGGACGUUGCGACCCGUUGGGUGCCAGCCUACGGCGCGGUUGGUCGACUGUCGCGUCGCGUUUACGCGUGCACGUGGCAGACCACCGGUUGCCCGGCCGGUUGUCCGGCGGUAUAGAUCGCUAUAAAGCGGUAUUGGGCUGCAUUAAGUGCGUUCUGGCUCGUCGGCAGGCUCGUCUCGCUCGGAUUUACGGACCUAGUGCCGUUGCCGGGCGCUUGGCGUAGCCGUUAGUCGACGAUGCCCUCGUACUGGCUCUUAUAUUCGAACGGAUUUACCGGUCGGUGACGCUACUGCUUUGGGUACUUUCAGGACCCGUCUUGAAACACGGACCAAGG
Molecule: non-coding RNA, 924 nt
Filed under: Trichomalopsis sarcophagae
Lineage: Eukaryota; Metazoa; Arthropoda; Insecta; Hymenoptera; Pteromalidae
Description: Eukaryotic large subunit ribosomal RNA
Rfam family: Eukaryotic large subunit ribosomal RNA
Source: Rfam by way of RNAcentral